CGGAUCUCUGGAUACCCCUAAGGAUGUUCUUGAUCUGGUAGGAGGAUAUGAAACUUGUGUUGUUUGGUUGUAAUGUUAGCAUGUGAUGUUGUACGCCUGUCAGAUAUAGCUUGAUUGUGUUGUAAGAUAAUUUAAGUUUGAGGUGGCAAAAAGAAGCAAAACCCAACAAAGAUGUCAUGAUGAAAGGUUGUGUGAUGUUGUGC
Molecule: non-coding RNA, 203 nt
Organism: Pelobates cultripes (western spadefoot toad)
Lineage: Eukaryota; Metazoa; Chordata; Amphibia; Anura; Pelobatidae
Source: the annotation of a GenBank genome assembly